Neopsephotus bourkii (Bourke's parrot) is the source of this 132-nucleotide small nucleolar RNA. RefSeq annotates it as small nucleolar RNA SNORA14. NCBI's taxonomy places the organism in Eukaryota, Metazoa, Chordata, Aves, Psittaciformes, Psittacidae. The record is from RefSeq and is a predicted model, not a curated record. The transcript has a single exon.
CAUCCUAAACCCUCCUGGCAGCUCUGUUAUCAGCUUCCAGGGUAAGAGUGAGCACCAGAGAAAACUGUUGAUUAAUCCAAAACAUUGAGCUCCCCUCCCGUAGCUCUUCAUUACUUCACAUCUUCAACAUUC